AACGAACGCUGGCGGCAGGCCUAACACAUGCAAGUCGAGCGAGGACUUCGGUUCUAGCGGCGGACGGGUGAGUAACGCGUGGGAAUGUGCCCUUCUCUACGGAAUAGCCCUGGGAAACUGGGAGUAAUACCGUAUACGCCCUAUUGGGGAAAGAUUUAUCGAAGAAGGAUCAGCCCGCGUUGGAUUAGGUAGUUGGUGGGGUAAUGGCCUACCAAGCCGACGAUCCAUAGCUGGUUUGAGAGGAUGAUCAGCCACACUGGGACUGAGACACGGCCCAGACUCCUACGGGAGGCAGCAGUGGGGAAUCUUAGACAAUGGGGGCAACCCUGAUCUAGCCAUGCCGCGUGAGUGAUGAAGGCCUUAGGGUUGUAAAGCUCUUUCAGCUGGGAAGAUAAUGACGGUACCAGCAGAAGAAGCCCCGGCUAACUCCGUG
This 433-nucleotide ribosomal RNA is filed under the name uncultured bacterium. RNAcentral describes it as "partial 16S ribosomal RNA". It matches the Rfam family "Bacterial small subunit ribosomal RNA", at positions 29 to 507 of the family's 1533-position model. The record is from RNAcentral.